RNAcentral lists this unclassified non-coding RNA (378 nucleotides) under uncultured Parachlamydiaceae bacterium. RNAcentral's name for it is "contains 16S-23S intergenic spacer region". Lineage: Bacteria; Pseudomonadati; Chlamydiota; Chlamydiia; Parachlamydiales; Parachlamydiaceae. The record is from RNAcentral.
UCCUGGUUAACCCAGGCAGUCUCGCUAGAGUUCCCAGCAUUACCUGUUGGCAACUAACGAUAAGGGUUGCGCUCGUUGCGGGACUUAACCCAACACCUCACGGCACGAGCUGACGACAGCCAUGCAGCACCUGUUCAGCGGCCCCGAAGGGCUGAUGCAUCUCUGCAUCAUUCCACUGUAUGUCAAGUCUGGGUAAGGUUCUUCGCGUUGCAUCGAAUUAAACCACAUGCUCCACUGCUUGUGCGGGUCCCCGUCAAUUCUUUUGAGUUUCACCCUUGCGAGCGUACUCCCCAGGCGGUAUAUUUAUCGCGUUAGCUACGGCACAGCCAGGGUUGAUUCCGGCUACACCAAGUAUACAUAGUUUACGGCAAGGACUAC